UACGAAGGGGGCUAGCGUUGCUCGGAAUUACUGGGCGUAAAGGGAGCGUAGGCGGAUAGUUUAGUCAGAGGUGAAAGCCCAGGGCUCAACCUUGGAAUUGCCUUUGAUACUGGCUAUCUUGAGUACGGAAGAGGUAUGUGGAACUCCGAGUGUAGAGGUGAAAUUCGUAGAUAUUCGGAAGAACACCAGUGGCGAAGGCGACAUACUGGUCCGUUACUGACGCUGAGGCUCGAAAGCGUGGGGGAGCAAACAGG
This 254-nucleotide ribosomal RNA is filed under the name uncultured bacterium. Its description in RNAcentral is "partial 16S ribosomal RNA". It matches the Rfam family "Bacterial small subunit ribosomal RNA", at positions 524 to 776 of the family's 1533-position model. The record is from RNAcentral.